CGGUGACGAGAGAAUUAUUGUGUUCACAACAAAUCACAAGGAUCGGCUUGAGCCUGCACUGUUGCGUCCUGGUCGAAUGGACGUCCACAUUCACAUGUCGUAUUGCACUCCACAUGCGUUUAGGGUCUUGGCCUCCAACUACCUUGGCAUUCAAGACUUGAAUCAUCAUGGCCUUUACGGAGAAAUCACAGGCUUGCUAGAGAGCACAGAGGUCACCCCUGCUGAGGUCUGUGAGCAACUGUUGAAGAGAGAUGAUGAUGUUGACGACGAUGAUGCUGAUGCUGCUCUUGCUGGACUUGUCAACUUUCUCAAACUCAAGAAGCUUGAAGAGACUAAUAAUAUUGAUAAACCAGAAACUCAAGAAGGAUCUCAAUGUUAAUGAUGAUGACGGUGACAACUCCUCCACCUAGCAUGAGCUAGGGCAGUAGAAUAAGUUGGUGUCAUUUGUCCCAUCUGAUUAUGAAGUAAUGUAUGGUUAUAUUCAGACUCUUCCCUUUUUUUUCUUUCUUAAUUAUAGCGUACCUACCAAAGUAGAGAAAUUAUGUGGAAAAAGACCUGCAAACAGAGACCUUGACUUUUGGUCAACAAGGAAGGCAAAGAGAAGCGACCACCAGCAUUUGAUGGAAAUUUCUGUUCUUAUACGACUUCUAACAAGUCUCGUUGACUUAGGGUCCCUUUUUGGGGUUGACACGUAAUUGUGACCAUAAGGAAAAUUCUACCAUGUUGCAUUUUCUGAAACGAAAUCCAUACCAAAUGAUCUUUCUGAACCUCUUAACUAUACCUCUGCAGAAGUCUUGGCAAUCUUGCUCUGAUCAAACAUGAUCCAAUGGUGUGCAGAGAAAAUUACAAAAGUGACAAACGUAAUAAGUUUCACUUCCCCCUGGCUCAAUUCUACUUUUUUCUUACAUCCUUAAUCAACCAAUGCAAAUAUAUUCCAUUCCUUAUCAGUUGUCCCAUUAAUAUAUUUAUGAAAUACCAUAUCAGUUUGCAAACAUUUUUAGAUUUGGUUGAGCUUGAGACAUGGUUGUUCAAGGGAAUAAGGGGAUUGAGAAUUGUUGAUUUUCAAGUAGGAGUUGGAGACGGUGUUGUUCAACCUCACAACUUAAUAAGCAUAUAUACUUCCACAAUCAACGCCACCUCACUCGAUCAACACUUGAUUUCGUUGAAUUAAACUAAUUUCUCUUGUAUUAAGAUACCAAGUUGACAACUCCUAAAUUAUCUUCUAAGUUUAUUGCCCUGCUAGCACUUGGUAUCGAUUCGAAGUUGCUAGGCUAGUUUAUUUUCCUAAAAUCGGUUCAUCAGUCUGUCAAUUCCUCACUUACUUUCUAUGUAAGUUAUUGUUUAUAAUUAAUUGAAUCGAGAAAUCUUCUGUUUAUUUGUGAAUUUUUAUUUUUAGAAAAAUUCCAUGUAUGAGGUUAAGUGCAUCUCUUAAUUAGAACAUCUAUAGUGGGGUGAUGUAUAAUAGGAUGUAUGUUAAAUAUACACCCGUUAUGAUCGGAAUUACUCGUAAUAAGGGUGUAAAUAAAUGUAUAAUUACAUCACCACCAUGAGAUGUAAAUUUAGAUGCAAUUGUACAUAUUUUUUUACAUUCCCAUUGCGGAUGGAACCCAACUGAAAAAAAAAGAGGAAAAAUAGAGAAAAGUCAGAAUAAAAAGGUGGGACCCAGCUAACAACAAUGGUGCAUGCAACGGUAUGGCUCGAUUUUGUCCUCAUCCCAUUUCUUCCUUUUUUUAAUUCAACUUGUUUCCACGGUCUCUCCCAUCUCUCUACUUUUGAUAUUUAUUUAUAAUUUCAUAUAUAUAUAUAUAUAUAUAAUUAAAUUAAUAAUUUACUUACUUUCCAACCUUAAGACGGAGACUCGGUAUAGAGAAAUUAUUGUAUGAUAUCGUAUCAUCACUUCAAUUGAUGAUACUUCCGUUUAUCUUUCAUAGAAGAUUAUAACCUUUUUUUUAAAGCAUAAUUAAAAACAUCAAUUUCACCUUUUUGAAUAAACUUUUUUAAAAAGCUUUAAUUGUUUUAGAAAAUGACAUAUUGCACAUUUUUAGAUUAAAUGUACUUUACAAUCCAACGAUUCUUUUUUAAUGAAAUUAUAUUUUCUCCAAAUUCAAAUAUUUUUAGGUCUAUUUGUUUGAAAAAAUAAAAUUAACCUAAUACAAAAAAAAAAUUAAUUUUAUAAAGUAAACACAAAAUAUAAAUUUAACACAAAAACAAAUUAAGACAAACAAAUCAAUUAUACAUCUUUAGAUUUACUUCGUUUUUUAUUGGAGAAAAAAACGUAUUUACACUUCCCGAAUGUGUAAAGGAGAUAUAAAAGUGUCUUUACACCCCCGAAAAUACACCUCCUACUGUAGAAGCUCUUAGGUAUUUGAUAAUUUUUUGAUUUUGUGUUAUGUUGACAUUUGCAGUUCACACUCUCGGGCCUACUAAACUUCAUGGAUGGUCUGUGGUCAAGUUGCGGUGAUGAAAGAAUUAUUGUGUUCACAACAAACCACAAGGAUGACGAUGAUGAUGCUGCUCUUGUAAGAGUUGUCAAGGUCACCCCUGCUGAGAUUUGUGAGGAAGUACUGAAGAAAAAUGACGAGGACGAGGACGACGAUGAUGAUGCUGCUCUCGAAAGAGUUGUCGACCUUCUCAAACUUGAGAAGCUUGAAGGGACUAAUAAUAUUGAAAAGACAGAAAUGCAAGCAGAAAAAAGGCAGGAAAAUGGAUCUCAGGUGAAUGAUGAAAGUGACAACUCAUGCAUCCAACAUGAGCUAUAGCGAUCCCCUUUUAGAUAAGUCUUUUUGUUAUUAGUACUUUUGUAGGAAAAGAAAUCUGGAUGUCAAGUACUCUAAUCCCAGUUUUGUUUGGUGUCCUGUCAGGUGUUGUCCUAUUAUCCUAUCUGAUUAUGAUGUAAUCACUUUGGUUAUAUCGAUAAAUAAAGUAAGUAAUGGUAUGGUUAGUUCAAAUUCUAUUCAAACUCUAAUAUUAUUUUCUUUCACGAAUGUGCGCUAGCAACAUAUAUACAUAAGGUGGUGUGGUGUUUUUGUUGUUAAGAGGUAGAAAGAAAAUUUACUCGCACACACACAAGUGCCUAGAAAUUUCGAAUAUGAGAUGAUUGGUCUUAAGUCAAACAUACUUUUUCACUACGGUAUGAUCCUAUUAGCUUCAUACUCUCUUGUUUCACUCUAGAGUGCAAGUGGCUACUUUUGAAAUGAAAUAAUUAACAACAGUUACUUUCUUAAUUAUAUCAUAGUUUACUUACCAAAGUGGAGAAGAUUUAUAUUUUUUGUUGUACUUCUUCAUAGGUUUUGAAUUUUGAUGCAACCAGAAGCUUUUUGUGUGUGUUGUUGCAUGUGAAUGGCGGGAAAAGAAUGGCAACUGUGUGAAAUUGAUCAAGUUAAGAUCAAUCCGGUAUGAUUGAAAACAUCAAAGCCAUCAAAUUAGUCAUGGUCUGCUCUAGGUUUCUUUAUUCAUUUUGGCCUCAAAUAUUAAAUACAUGUGUUUAAAAAGCAAUAACAAUCUAAUCAAAUAACUCACCCAACCCAACUCCUACGUUCAACGUAUAGUCCUAACACAAUCAAAUGUUUUAUUGAAUAUUUAUCCAGAGACUUACCUAUAAACUAGGUCACCUAGCACACUAAAAAAAAAAACCACGUACAGUAAAAAAAAGAUAUCUAGCAUAAGGAGAAAUUCGACCAAAACAAAAAAAAAUAGCAUAAGGAGAAAAAAGAGGGACUAUUGUCAACUAAACGACAAUAACCUACACAAAACACAAUGCACGCGGUUUUGACUGGUGGUGUACAAGUAGACUUCUUUGUCGAUCUUGCCAUGUGCAAUUGUCUGUGGCUGUGGUUUCACUAGUACUGUAUAUGAAUUUACCCCCCAAGUAACAAACCUCAAAUAUAUAUCCCCAAAUUUGAUUAAAAAAUCCCCCAACAAGAACAUCUCCUUCUUCUUCUUCUUCUUCUUCUUCUUCUUCUCAACCUCUGCCUUGCUUACCUUGCAUCCAUCCAUCCGCCAUGAAUUUCAUCGUGGAGGAACUCAUGCUUUUCAUUUCCACUGCCCUCAAUUACCUUGCUACCCUUUUCUCCCCUGGCCAUUAUCAUCAUGACCUCACUUUCAUCAUCCGCCAGAAGAGCACGCCACCCAACCAAGUCUACGACGCCGCCGAGCUCUACCUCCCAUCCAUCGAGUUGAUCAAUCCCUCCACUCGUACUAUCGGCGUCAGCAAAACACCGCGGCAAGAAGCCGUCAAGCUUGCCAUGGAAAGCGGUGAGCAGAUCGCCGACACCUUUGAGGACAUUAACCUCAACUGGCUCUACGUGGUCCAAACAUUCCCGAGCGGCCAGGUAACACGUCGCUUCGAGCUAACCUUCCACAAGAAACACAAAGACAAAGUCCUGACCUCCUACUUGCGCCAUGUGGUUACUCGGGCUGAAGCCAUUAAAAAAGAGGAAAAGAUUCUCAAACUUCGUAGCGUUAACUCACCAUCACGAGUGGAUCUGGAGCACCCAGCCACGUUCGAGACGAUCGCCAUGGGGCCCGACCAGAAGACAAAGAUUAUAAAGGACUUGGACAGGUUUGUGAGGAGGAGGGAGUUUUAUAAGAAGGUGGGCAAGGCUUGGAAAAGAGGCUACUUAUUGUAUGGCCCUCCUGGGACUGGCAAAUCCAGCUUGAUUGCAGCCAUGGCUAAUCAUCUCAAGUUUGACGUGUAUGAAUUGGAGCUUGAUGGUAUUUACAGUGACUCUCAAUUGAAGAGCGUGUUACUGUCCACUGCAAAUCGUUCUAUUUUGGUCAUUGAGGAUAUUGAUUUCAGCGCCGUUAAUGCGCGAAAACGAAAGUGCGGGGUUAGUACCUACCUAUACCUACCUAAAUUUUUCUGUGAAUUAGGUGUUCGAUAAUUUUUGGUUUAUUUUUUGGUGUAACAUAGUAAAAAUUUAAUUACUAUGCUGAUAUUUGCAGAUCACGGUCUCAGGCCUGCUAAACUUCAUGGAUGGUCUGUGGUCGAGCUGCGGUGACGAGAGAAUUAUUGUGUUCACAACAAACCACAAGGAUCGGCUUGAGCCUGCAUUACUGCGUCCUGGUCGAAUGGACGUCCACAUUCACAUGUCCUAUUGCACUCCGCAUGCGUUUAAGGUUUUGGCCUCCAACUACCUUGGUGUUCAGGACUUGGACCGUCAUCCUCUUUAUGGAGAAAUCGCGGGGUUGCUAGAGAGCACAGAGGUCGCCCCUGCUGAGGUUUGUGAGGAGCUAUUGAAGAGAGAUGAUGAUGUUGACGAUGAUGAUGUUGAUGCUGCUCUCGAAGGAGUUGUCAAAUUUCUCAAACUCAAGAAGCUUGAAGGGGAUAAUAAUAAUAUUGAUGAACCAGAAUUUCAAGAAGGAAAAAGGCAGGAUGUGGAUGUCAGUGUUAACGAUGACGACAGUGAGAGCUCAAGCACCUGAAAUAAUCGACCAUAGCUUUAUCUAGCUAGGCAGUAGAAUAAGUUGCAUCUUCCGAUGGCCUAGCUAGUCCCUUUGGCUUUAAGUACUUUUGUCUUUGAGUUUAAGUACUUUUGUAUUUGGUUUUGUUUGGUGUUAUGUUUCUCCUUUCUGUUUGGCUAUCCUUGCGGGGUGCUAUGCUAUCCUUGUUAUGGUUAUUAUAUGUCCUCGUCUCGCUCUCCUUCUAGCAGAAUUGAUAGGGGUAGAUGGUCCUGGUAUUUAUCCAGAAAAUUUGGUGGGCCGAAAAUGAAAUUUCACAUGUUGAGAUUUACACAAUUUGCAUAUUUUUAUAGAAUUUGAGCUCGGAAUUUUGGAUUGUGAAAUCCCCUAAUAUUGCUCGCAUGCAAUUUGCAAAAUACUGAGUUGAUAGUAUUGGAAAUGCUGCAAAAUGCUCCGUUUUCCAUGAGUGAAAUCCCGAUUUCUGCUCAUAUCCCAUCUUUUUCCCCUCAUCCAAACACUGGCUGCUAUUUGAAAUGCAAUAAUCCAAAGUGGAGAAAUUAUGUGGAAGAAGUCGUCUUCGUCCCUAUUGCUAUGCAAAUGUGUAUGGCCGACCAGCAUGCACAUGUCCAUUUGGCUUUUUGUGGUUCCAUGUCUUUUGCAAGGGAUUGUGGGGUCUACCCAAACCUGAAUUUUUUUUCUUCUUUUUGUUCUUGCAAAUCAAGCAACCUCAACUAUAUAUAUAACCAAAUUUUGAUAGAAACAAAAAAAAAAUCCACCCAACAGGAGCAUCCUCCUUCUUCUCAACCUCUGCCUCCCUUGCCUUGCAUCCAUCCAUCCGCCAUGAAUUAUCAUCAUGGCCUUACUUUGAUCAUCCGCGAGGAGGGCUCGCCAUCCAACCAAGUCUACGACGCCGCCCACCUCUACCUCCCAAGCAUUCAAUUGAUCAAUCCCUCCACUCGGACCAUCGGAGUCACCAAAACACCGCGCAGAGAAACGGUCAAGCUCGCCAUUGAAAGCGGUGAGCAAGUCCCCGACACCUUUGACUGCAUUGACCUGAACUGGCUUUACGUGGUCGAAAAAUGUCCGGACGGCUGUGUUGAACGUCGCUUUGAGCUGACGUUUCAAAAGGAACACAAAGACAAAGUCAUGACCUUCUACUUGGCCUAUGUUGUUCGUCGCGCCGAAGUCAUUAAACAAGAGAGCAAGAUUCUCAACCUCCGCAAAGUUAACUCAUACGACCAAGUCGAAUUCGAGCACCCGGCUACGUUUGAGACGAUAGCCAUGGAGCCCGGCCUAAAGCGAAAGAUUAUAAAGGAUUUGGAGAGGUUUGUGAGCAGGAGGGAGUUUUAUAAGAAGGUGGGCAAGGCUUGGAAAAGAGGCUACUUGUUGUAUGGCCCACCUGGCACUGGAAAAUCCAGCUUGAUUGCAGCCAUAGCUAAUUAUCUCAAGUUUGAUGUGUUUGAAUUGGAGCUUGAUGCUAUUGACAGUGACUCUGGGUUGAAGAAGGCGUUGCUUUCCACUACAAAUCGUUCCAUUUUGGUGAUUGAGGAUAUUGAUUGUUCCGUCAAUAAAGAUAAGGAAAACCGGGUCAGUACCUACUCUUUGUUUGUAAAAUUUUAUACUAAGCGACACCGGGGAAUCGAAUCUAGAAACUUGGAUCCUGCGCUGAAUUUUUAUUUUUAUUAAUUAGUAUAUUUGAUAGUUUUGUGAUUUUGUUCUGUAAAUAAUAAAGAUUAAUAUUAUAUGUUGAUAUUUGCAUGCAUGCAGUUCACACUGUCAGGCCUACUAAACUUCAUGGAUGGUUUGUGGUCAAGUUGCGGAGAUGAGAGAAUUAUUGUGUUCACAACAAACCACAAGGAUCGGCUUGACCCUGCAUUGUUGCGUCCUGGCAGAAUGGAUGUCCACAUUUACAUGGGUUAUUGCACCCCAAGUGCGUUUAAGGUUUUGGCCUCCAACUACCUUGGCAUUCCUGACUUGGACGGUCAUGGCCUUUACGGAGAAAUCGUAGGCUUGCUAGAGAGCACAAAGGUUACCCCUGCUGAGAUUUGUGAGGAACUACUGAAGACAAAUGAUGAGGAUGAUGAUGAAGAUGCUGAUGCUGCUCUCGAAAGACUUGUCGACUUUUUCAAACUCAAGAAGCUUGAAGGUGAUAAACCCGAAAUUGAAGAGGCAAAAAAGCAGAAAAUGGAUGUCGAUGUUAAUAAUGUUAAUAUUUUCAAGAGAGAAACUGAAGAAGAAAGAAGGGAGGAAAUGGAUGUCAAAGUGAAUGAUGACAUAGAAAAUAAAUGAUGGUGAUAUAUAGAUGCUGGAAAGUGUUUGGUAGCAAAAAUCAGUUGUAUAAUAUAUAUGUAUUAAUUAAUCUUCUUCAUUAUAAUGGAAAAAGGUUGAAUUAAUCAUUCCAUGGUUAAUUGUGGUAAGGUAGUCGAGAAAAAGGGAGGCAAAGAGAAGCGAACAAAUGAAGGUACUGGGCGUGAAAUUUCUGUGCAACCAAAUGAAGGCUUUUUUUGUUUGUUGCGCAUGUAAAUGGUUAGAAAAGAGUCAAGCAUGAUCAUGAUUCAUGAUUCAUGAUAGGAGAAAACUAGUACCCACCCCGCCUCCUACGUUCACUUCACAUGAUCAUGAUUCAUGAUAGGAGAAAAAGAGUCAAGCAUUUGUAUUGUUAUUGUACCAAAAAUAAUCAAUCAAAUAUUUAUCCAAAACACGAGGAAAGGGAUUGUGUGCACGCGGUUUUGGGUCUAAACUUGCAAAUUAAGCCACCCCUCACGUAAAUAUCCCCUACUUUGAUCCAAUUUCAAUUUGUAAAAGAUGUGACUAGAGAAAGUCAAAUAUAAGGAUAUAUGGUGAAUUUCUGAUAUAUUAUUUUUCUCUUAGAGGAGGUGUAUAUAUAUAGUGUACAAUGUCUUUUUACCCAAGGAAAAGAUAAAAGUUAAUCCUAAUAGAACAAGUAAUACAAUAUUUACAAGAAUCUUUAUAUUAAUUUCCUAUCUAAAAUAGGACUCACGCCAACACUCCCCCUCAAGUUGAUGCGUAGAUGUCACCAAUGCCCAACUUGUCAAGUGAGUCACUAAAUACAUGGCUAGACACUGCUUUAGUCAAAAUAUCUGCAAGUUGUUCCUCUGAUUUCACAUGUGGUACACUAAUCACAUUGCUUUCCAAUUUUUCAUUAAUAAAAUGUCUAUCAAUCUCCACAUGUUUGGUACGAUCAUGUUGGACUGGAUUAUUAGCUAUGUCGAUUGCAGCUUGAUUAUCACAAUACAAUUUCAUGGCAUCUUUAGCCACGAAGCCCAAUUCCUUUAAUAAUUUCCGAAUCCACAACAUCUCACAUACGCCAUGAACCAUGCUUUGAUACUUAGCUUCCGCACUGGACAAAGAACAAACCUUCUGUUUCUUGCUUCGCCAAGUAACAAGGUUACCACCCACAAAUGUAAAAUAACCUGAUGUUGAACGCCUAUCAGUUCGAUUUCCUGCCCAAUCGGCAUCUGUAAAACCUUCAAUUUCCCAAUUUCCAUGUUUUGAGAACAUCAGCCCUUUGCCAGGUGCAGACUUUAGAUACUGUAAAAUUCGCAUAACUGCUUCCAUAUGAACUUCACUAGGCGAAUGUAUAAAUUGACUCACAACACUAACAGCAUAAGCAAUAUCUGGCUUGGUGUGAGAUAAAUAAAUAAGUCUUCCAACUAACCUCUGAUAUCUGUCUUUAUUAGUUGGAACUUGAUCUGGAAGAAUCUCAAGAUUAUGGUUCUGCACAAUAGGAGUAUCAGCAGGUUUACACCCAAGCAUCCCAGUUUCAUUCAAUAAAUCUAACACAUAUUUUCUUUGUGACAAGAAAAUACCAUGUUGAGAUCUAGCCACUUCAAUUCCCAAAAAAUAUUUCAACCCUCCAAGAUCCUUCAUCUCAAACUCAGUUGAUAAAUAAUGUUUCAAUUUAUCAAUCUCUUCUGUAUCAUCACCUGUUAUUAUCAUAUCAUCAACAUAUAUAAUUAAAACAGUGAUCUUCCCUUUCCUCCUCUUCAGAAACAAAGUAUGAUCUGCAUUGCUUUGACGAUAACCGUAUUUCUUCAUGGCAUAACUGAAUUUGCCAAACCAAGCUCUAGGAGACUGCUUCAACCCAUAGAGUGACUUCCUCAACUUGCACACCAAAUUUGGAUUUUCAGAUAGAUCAAAUCCUGGAGGUAGGCUCAUAUAAACUUCUUCCUUCAAUUCUCCAUGUAGGAAAGCAUUUUUCACAUCAAAUUGUUGGAGUGGCCAAUCUAAAUUUGCUGCAAGCGAUAUUAGAACACGAACUGUGUUUAUUUUUGCAACUGGUGCAAAAGUUUCCUAAUAAUCAACACCAUAUGUCUGAGUAUAUCCUUUGGCAACCAAUCUCGCCUUGUAUCUAUCAAUGGUACCAUCUACCUUGUGUUUAAUUGUGAAAAUCCAUCUGCAUCCAACUGGUCGUUUUCCUUGUGGCAAUGAAACUAAAUCCCAAGUUUGAUUUUUUUUCAAAGCCAACAUCUCUUCAUCCAUAGCUUUCUUCCAUUGAGGAGCAGCCAAAGCAUCUUGCACUUUAGAUGGAAUAAAUUCAGUUGUCAUAUGAUUAGCAAAAACUGCACAUGCUUCAGAUAAUCGAUGAGUAGAGACAUAGUUUGCAAUUGGGUAGUUCGACUUCUUUAAAUUUUCAGGUGAAAAACGAUCUGGUGGAAUUCCUCUAUUACGUCUGGGAGGCAAUUGAUACCUUGUUUCUGCAACACUAUCAAUAUCAUUUGUAAUUAAAUUGUCAGUAUUAAUCAAAUUUGGUUAUGUACUUACCUCAGGGUUAUUCGAAGCCUCAGGAAUUUGGACAAGUACUGUUGGUGUAGAAGAGGGAGAACAAUUAUGUGGGAUAUGUGGAGUUGCAGGGAACAAAGUGGGGUUAGCAACAUGUGACGCCAGGUCCUCAACGGACGUGACUGCAUUUUCUUUUUCAUUGCAGAUCACUUCUUCUCUUUCUAUGAUAAUAUCAGGUAACAUAAUUGUCCAAUUCCAAUUCUGCUCUUCAAUAUUCUCAUUCUCCCCCUGAAGAGGAGGGUUGGAUUCAUGAUGAAAUACAUGGACAAGUCUGAGAAAGUGAUAUCCAUUGUGACAUACGUACGCUUUGUCGGAGGAUGGUAGCAUCGAUAUCCUUUGGAAUAUGGGGAGAAACCCACAAACACACAUUUAAGAGCACAUGGAUCCAAUUUAGACCGUAGGUGUUUAAGGAUGUGAACGUAGGCUAUACAACCAAAACUACGGGGAUGGAGAGUCAGGACUGACGGUAGGGGAUGUGUCGAAGUCAAAACAUCCAGUGGUGUCUUGUAUCCAUGGACAGAAGAGGGCAUACGAUUUAAUAAAUACACUGCAUAUAAUAUAGCAUCACUCCAAAACAUCUUAGGCAUAUGAGCUUCUAUCAAAAUACUCAUGGCCGUCUCAAGAAUAUGAUGAUUUUUCCGUUCAGCAACCCCAUUUUGUUGAGGGGUAUAGGGACAUGUAGUUUCAUGGAGAAGACCGUUAUCCUGAAAGAAAGACACAAAAUCAUGACUCACAUAUUCACCUCCAUUAUCUGAUUGCAGAAACUGAAUUUUUUUGGAGAAUUGUGUCUGAACCAUCUGAUAAAAUUGCUUGAAGAGACCAAAAACCUCACUUUUAUUUUUCAUAAAAUAUAUCCAUGUCAUUCUCGUAUAAUUAUCAACGAAAGUCACAAACCAUCUAAUGCCAGAGAUUGUAGAGACUGGGGAAGGACCCCAUACAUCAGAAUGAAUAAGAGCAAAAGGUUUAUCAUUCUUAUUGAAACUAAUAGGGUAUGAAACACGGUGACUCUUGGCAAGAAUACAAGUUUCACACUGAAGACUAGAAAUAUCGAAAUCCAAAAAUAAAGCUGGAAAUAAAUGUUUUAAAUAACCAAAAGAAGCAUGUCCUAAACGCCAAUGCCAUAACCAAAUUUGUAUCUUCUUGUCUGCAGCUGAGUCAUGAGCAAUAAGGGCCUUUCCCGUGCAAACAUCAUCCACAUAAUAUAGUCCUCCUCUCUUAGUACCACGCCCAAUUAUUUCCUGGGUUCGAAUAUCCUGAAGAAGGCAAAACAAGGGAUGGAUUAAUACAAAACAAUUUAAUUGUUCAGUCACUUGUCCAACAGAUAAUAAAUUCUGAGAUAAAGAAGGAACAAGAAGAACAUGUUCCAAAGUUAAAUUUGGAGAAAGAUCAACUGUGCCUGCCCCAAUCACAGGGUAGGAUUGGUCAUUCGCAUUCGCCAUACUAGUAAGGCUAGGAGUAGUACGAGUCUUCAAAUUUGUCGAGUCAAAUGUCAUGUGAUUUGAAGCACCUGAAUCAAUAAUCCAACCAGAACCAAUACCUAAGCCAGUAGCAGCAGCAAAAGCACUAUCUGAUGUAUUAGAAGAAGUGCCCGAAUCACCUGUAGGGAGGGCGACAAAACCUGGAGGAACAAUGGAGGAGGAGACAGAUGGCAUAUGGGAAGCUUGUGGGACAGAAGGGUCGGGAGAUCCUAUGCAGAGUGCGACCUUGCCUUGUGCGUAUCGUUCAGCGGCUACUUUGGCCUUGUUACGCUCCUUGACUUCAUCCCACCAUUCUGGAUAGCCAUGUAAUUUAAAACAAUCAGUUACAAAGUGAUUCGUGCUAUUGCAAUGAGUACACCUUUCGCCAUUUUGAGGUUUAACUCGUUGUGGACCAUUGGGUCUUGUAGAACCUGUAGGUCCAUUAGCUGUAGAACCUACAGGUUUGUAGGAAGAGGCAGGCAUAGAGUGCCUUGUAGGUCCAUUAAUUGUAGAAUCAACAGGUUUGUAGGAAGAGGCAGGCCUGGAGUUCCUUGCUACCAUAGCAACUCCAGUGUUCACCGGGGUUGGUGGUACCAUCAUGGUGGAUCGCCGCUGGUCUUCUCGUCUGACACAUGAAAAAGCUCUCUCCAAAUUCGAAAACGGAUCCAUGCGAAGAAUAUCGCUACGAACUCUGUCAAACACAUCAUCUAAUCCAGCUAAAAAUACAUAAACCCUAUCAAUUUCAAUCUCCUGUUGACGAAGCAAAAUAUCUGAUGAAUUAGUAAAUUUAUUUGGUCGUCAAUAAUCAAUCUCAUGCCAAAUACUUUGCAAUUCUGCAUAGUAUGUGACAAGUUGUCGUCCAGACUGUUACGCCUUGAAUGCCCGACAAGUUAGCUCAUAAAUCUGUGACUGAUCUUGGCCAUCAUAGUAUGUUUUUUUAACAUUCUCCCAUACAUCUUUGGCAGUUUUGUAGGGAAGGAAAAUUUGCAUAAUAUCAGGCUCCAUAGAUUGAAUCAGCCAUCCCUUCACAAUUGCGUUUUCAGCAUACCACUUAUUGUAAUUAGAGUCUGCCAGAGCUGGUGCAGCAGAAGCGCCUGUCAGAUACCCAUAUUUUCUCUUCCCAGCAACAUGUAACUCAAGCAGUUGGGACCAUACUGAAUAAUUUGUUCCAUUCAAUUUAACAAUUGUAGGAGCAGCGGAAGAAUCAUGAUGAACAUUGACAAUUGACAUAGGCUGACCAGAACCCCCUGAGGUAAUUUGUGGUACCUCAUUGGAUUGGCCAUCUUCAUUAAACAAAUCCUGCAUAUCCCCCAUGGAGCCAAAUAACACGGCAAGAAUUAAAACAAAAUAAUAGGCAAAAAGGAAAAAAUCUGUAGCAGUAAGGGAGGUAUGCUAUUCUAAGGCAAAUAUAAACCUGGCUCUGAUACCAAGUCAAAUAUAAGGAUAUAUGGUGAAUUUCUGAUAUAUUAUUUUUCUCUCAAAGGAAGUGUAUAUAUAGUGUACAAAUCUUUUUACCCAAGGAAAAGAUAAAAGCUAAUCCUAAUAGAACAAGUAAUACAAUAUUUACAAGAACCUUUAUAUUAAUUUCCUAUCUAAAAUAGGACUCACGCCAAUAGAGAAGGUGCAUGUAUACAUUUUGACUGAUAAAAAGGCUACAGUCAAGACCAAUAGGGCGUUGUGGCUCAAGUUUUUGGUGUGCUCUCAAGUGAUCUAAGUUUAAGUCUCAUUGUACCUGUGCGUGUAAGUUUCUCAUUUCUUUUUCCGAACUUUGGCCCCAAAAAAAAAUAAAAACUAUAAUCAAGUGGUGUUGUCUUAACAAAAAUUUGGCAAAACAGUCGUUUCAAGAAUUUAUGUUGAUGGAUGUGAUCACGACAAUACUUCUUCAAAUGGUGAUGGUGAUAUAAUUCAUUUGAGCAUCUGGGUUGUUUUAGGAUUUCGACUAUAUUGAAUUCAUGGAAUUUAUUUGAGAUUAUACUUAAUUAUAUAAUGACGUGGACUAUUAAUUUUAGUAUGGUUUUUGUCGGUUUUGAUUUUGGUUUUAGAGACUUUGGUCAGAUUGGAAACCAGAAAAAAAGGCAGACUAACAAGAGGAAGGCAAGGAAGCAACCACGAACCAGCAGCUUAUGGGGUUUGAUGCAUGUCAAGGAUAUGGACCCACUCCACAGUGAAAACUUGCCGUCGAUGCAGGUGCAGCACGCGUAGGCACAAAUGCCCUGGAAAUUGUACUGGGCUAUGGCUAUCCCUCUGUCUUGUUUAUAUCAUACUUGGAGUUGUGGGGUCUACCCAAACGCUGUUGUGGGUCCAAAAACAGCUUGCAGAGUAAGCAACCUCUCAACUAUAUAUAUAUAUAUAUAUAUAUAGAAACGCCCCCACAACACCAUCCACACCUUGUUCUCAAGCUGUGCCUCUCUCUCUCUCUCUCUCUCUUUCUCUCUCUCUCUCUCCCCGUUGCUGCAUCGAUACAUCCGCCAUGAAUUUUAUCUUGGAGCUCCUGCUUCUCAUUUCCACUGCCCUCAAUUACCUUGCUACCCUUAUCUCCCCUCGUCAUGAUCUUCAUGAUCGUCAUGAGGACCUUACUUUCAUCAUUCGCCAGGACUACAGGCCACCCAACCAAGUCUACGACGCCGCCGAGCGCUACCUCCCAACCAUUAACUUAAUCAAUCCCUCCACCCGAACCAUCCAAGUGAGCAAAACGCAGCGGCAAGAGACCGUCAAGCUUGCCAUGGAAAGCGGUGAGCAAGUCCCCGACACCUUUGAGGACAUUAACCUCAACUGGCGUUACGUGGUCGAAACAUUCCGUGACGGCAGCGUAGAACAUCGCUUUGAGCUAACGUUCCAAAAGAAACACAAAGAAAAAGUCAUGAGCUCCUACUUACCCUAUGUGGUUGGUCGGGCCGAAGCCAUUAAAAAAGAGGAAAAGAUUCUCAAACUUUCUAACCUUACCAACUCAUCAGUGGAUUUGGAGCACCCAGCUACGUUCGAGACGAUCGCCAUGGAGCCCGACCUGAAGAUAAAGAUUAUGAAGGACUUGGACAGGUUUGUGGCCAGGAGGGAGUUUUAUAAGAAGGUGGGCAAGGCUUGGAAAAGAGGCUACUUGUUGUAUGGCCCUCCUGGUACUGGAAAAUCCAGCCUGAUUGCGGCCAUGGCUAAUCAUCUCAAGUUUGAUGUGUUUGAUUUGGAGCUUGCUAGUAUUCGCAGCGACUCUCAUUUGAAGAGCGUGGUUCUGUCCACUACAAAUCGUUCCAUUUUGGUGAUUGAGGAUAUUGAUUGCUCCGUCCAUAGUAAAGAUAACCGGGUCAGCACCAACUUUUUUUUUUUUCUUCCUUUUUCUUUUUUUGUGAAUUUUAAUUUUUCUUUAAAUGCACCUCUUAAUUGUGUAUUUGGUAAUUAAAUAAUAAAAAUAUUAUUUACAUUCAGUGUUAUGUUGAUUUUGCAGUUCACACUCUCAGGCCUACUAAACUUCAUGGAUGGUCUUUGGUCAAGUUGUGGUGAUGAGAGAGUUAUUGUGUUCACCACAAACCACAAGGAUCGUCUCGACCCUGUAUUGCUGCGUCCUGGUCGAAUGGACGUCCACAUUCACAUGUCUUAUUGCACACCGAGUGCGUUUAGGAUUUUGGCCUCCAACUACCUUGGAAUUCAAGACUUCGACAGCCAUCGGCUUAAGGGAGAAAUCGUAGGGUUGCUAGAGAGCACAAAGGUCACCCCUGCUGACAUUUGUGAAGAUUUCUUGAAGGAAAAUGACGAUGAUGUUGAUGUUGAUGAUGAUGAUGUUGAUGCUGCUCUUGAAAGAGUUGUCAA
This 15458-nucleotide long non-coding RNA is filed under the name Prunus persica (peach). RNAcentral describes it as "long non-coding RNA (PPER_LNC007442)". Lineage: Eukaryota; Viridiplantae; Streptophyta; Magnoliopsida; Rosales; Rosaceae. The record is from RNAcentral.